UACGUAGGGUGCGAGCGUUGUCCGGAAUUACUGGGCGUAAAGAGCUCGUAGGUGGUUUGUCGCGUUGUUCGUGAAAUCUCACGGCUUAACUGUGAGCGUGCGGGCGAUACGGGCAGACUAGAGUACUGCAGGGGAGACUGGAAUUCCUGGUGUAGCGGUGGAAUGCGCAGAUAUCAGGAGGAACACCGGUGGCGAAGGCGGGUCUCUGGGCAACAACUGACGCUGAGGAGCGAAAGCGUGGGGGAGCGAACAGG
This 254-nucleotide ribosomal RNA is filed under the name uncultured bacterium. RNAcentral describes it as "partial 16S ribosomal RNA". It matches the Rfam family "Bacterial small subunit ribosomal RNA", at positions 524 to 776 of the family's 1533-position model. The record is from RNAcentral.